Molecule: ribosomal RNA, 388 nt
Filed under: uncultured Streptococcus sp.
Lineage: Bacteria; Bacillati; Bacillota; Bacilli; Lactobacillales; Streptococcaceae
Description: bacterial SSU rRNA
Rfam family: Bacterial small subunit ribosomal RNA
Source: RNAcentral
UACGGAGGGGGCUAGCGUUGUUCGGAAUUACUGGGCGUAAAGCGCACGUAGGCGGCUUUGCAAGUUAGAGGUGAAAGCCUGGGGCUCAACUCCAGAAUUGCCUUUAAGACUGCAUCGCUUGAAUCCGGGAGAGGUGAGUGGAAUUCCGAGUGUAGAGGUGAAAUUCGUAGAUAUAUGGAGGAACACCGGUGGCGAAAGCGGCUCUCUGGUCUGUAACUGACGCUGAGGCUCGAAAGCGUGGGGAGCAAACAGGAUUAGAUACCCUGGUAGUCCACGCCGUAAACGAUGAGUGCUAGGUGUUAGGCCCUUUCCGGGGCUUAGUGCCGCAGCUAACGCAUUAAGCACUCCGCCUGGGGAGUACGACCGCAAGGUUGAAACUCAAAGGAAU